This 1036-nucleotide ribosomal RNA is filed under the name uncultured organism. RNAcentral's name for it is "bacterial SSU rRNA". It matches the Rfam family "Bacterial small subunit ribosomal RNA", at positions 30 to 1078 of the family's 1533-position model. The record is from RNAcentral.
UGAACGCUGGCGGCAUGGCUAAAGCAUGCAAGUCGAACGCGAACGUGACUUCGGUCACUAUUAGAGUGGCGAACGGGCGAGGAAUCCGUUUCUAACGUGCCCCAAGGCCGAGGAUAGCCCGGAGAAAUCCGGGGUAAUACUCGAUGACCCCAUCGGAUCGCAUGUUCUGAUGGGCAAAGGCUUGCCACCUUGGGAUCGGGAAACGCCCUAUCAGGUUGUUGGUGAGGUAACGGCUCACCAAGCCUAAGACGGGUAGCGGGUGUGAGAGCAUGACCCGCCGCAUCGGGACUGAGACACUGCCCGGACUCCUACGGGAGGCUGCAGCAACGAAUCUUCCGCAAUGCGCGAAAGCGUGACGGAGCAAUGCCGCGUGCAGGAUGAAGCCCCUCGGGGUGUAAACUGCUGUCAGGGCUUAGGAAAUUUGACCAAACCCAAAGGAAGGGCCGGCUAACUUCGUGCCAGCAGCCGCGGUAAUACGAAGGGCCCGAGCGUUAAUCAGAAUCACUGGGCUUAAAGCGUGCGCAGGCGGAAACGUCAGUGUCUUGUGAAAUCCCACGGCUCAACCGUGGAAUUGCAGGGCAUACUGCGUUUCUUGAGGUCGGUAGAGGUCGCCGGAACUCUAGGUGUAGCGGUGAAAUGCGUAGAUAUCUAGAGGAACGCCGAAGGUGAAGACAGGCGACUGGGCCGAUUCUGACGCUCAGGCACGAAAGCGUGGGGAGCAAACAGGAUUAGAUACCCUGGUAGUCCACGCCGUAAACGUUGUGCACUAGAUCCUGGAGGUACUGACACCGUCGGGGUCGAAGAUAACUUGCUAAGUGCACCGCCUGGGGAGUACGGUCGCAAGGCUAAAACUCAAAGGAAUUGACGGGGGCUCACACAAGCGGUGGAGCAUGUGGCUUAAUUCGAGGCAACGCGAAGAACCUUACCUGGGUUUGACAUGCUUGGAUUAGCCUGUCGAAAGACAGGUGACGCUAAUUCUAGUGGAACUUGCACAGGUGCUGCAUGGCUGUCGUCAGCUCGUGCUGUGAAGUGUCGG